CCUACGGGGGGCUGCAGUGGGGAAUAUUGGACAAUGGGCGAAAGCCUGAUCCAGCAAUGCCGCGUGAGUGAUGAAGGCCUUAGGGUUGUAAAGCUCUUUUACCAGGGAUGAUAAUGACAGUACCUGGAGAAUAAGCUCCGGCUAACUCCGUGCCAGCAGCCGCGGUAAUACGGAGGGAGCUAGCGUUGUUCGGAAUUACUGGGCGUAAAGCGUACGUAGGCGGUUAUUCAAGUCAGAGGUGAAAGCCUGGAGCUCAACUCCAGAACUGCCUUUGAAACUAGAUAGCUAGAAUCACGGAGAGGUGAGUGGAAUUCCGAGUGUAGAGGUGAAAUUCGUAGAUAUUCGGAAGAACACCAGUGGCGAAGGCGGCUCACUGGACGUGUAUUGACGCUGAGGUACGAAAGCGUGGGGAGCAAACAGGAUUAGAUACCCCUGUAGUC
This 440-nucleotide ribosomal RNA is filed under the name uncultured bacterium. Its description in RNAcentral is "bacterial SSU rRNA". It matches the Rfam family "Bacterial small subunit ribosomal RNA", at positions 338 to 795 of the family's 1533-position model. The record is from RNAcentral.